Nicotiana tabacum (common tobacco) is the source of this 2435-nucleotide RNA transcript. It is a transcript of the gene named serine/arginine-rich splicing factor SC35, with no coding region annotated. Lineage: Eukaryota; Viridiplantae; Streptophyta; Magnoliopsida; Solanales; Solanaceae. The record is from RefSeq and is a predicted model, not a curated record.
GCACCAUUUGUCUUCUGCAGCAUUCAUAACCUAUAGCUCAAACCCUAACCAUUCAACUUUAUCAUAUCACUCCAGCGAACGACGAUGUCUCACUUCGGCAGAACAGGCCCUCCGGACAUCAAAGAUACCUUCUCUCUUCUCGUUCUCAACGUUACUUUCCGUACCACCGCUGAUGACUUGUUUCCUUUAUUCGAUAAGUAUGGAAAAGUCGUCGAUGUCUUUAUCCCUAGAGACCGAAGGACUGGAGAUUCUAGGGGUUUUGCAUUUGUACGCUACAAGUAUCAGGAUGAGGCUCAAAAGGCAGUGGAAAAGCUUGAUGGAAGAGUUGUAGAUGGUCGAGAAAUAAUGGUUCAAUUUGCAAAGUACGGCCCAAAUGCUGAGAGAAUUGACAAAGGUAGAAUUUUGGAGCCUGUACAAAAUACAAGAGGAAGGUCAAGAAGCCACAGUCCUAGAUCAAGGCAUCGUGAUCAUUAUAGGGACAAGGAUUCUAAAAGGAGAAGCCGAAGUAGAAGUAGGGACAGAUAUGACCGUGAUAGGUACCGUGGGAGAGACAAGGAUUACCGUCGUCGGAGCAGAAGCCGCAGCCCAGAUUACCGCAAAGAUCGCGAGAGAGGUAAAUAUGAUGAGGAGAGGCGCAGCCGAAGCCGGUCUCAUAGAAGUGUGUCCCCUGCUCGCCGUAGCCUCAGUCCUCGGAGGAGCCCUUCUCCACGUAGAACAACCCCUUCUAGGGAUGCUAGUCCAGAUGGACGUAAUCACAAAGACCGGUCUCCAACUCCAAAGAGUGUCUCACCGCGGGGUAGACGUGGUGGUUCUCGCAGCCCCUUGCCGCAUUCUGAUGCUGAUGAUUAAGGAGCAAAGGAGAAGGCCACGAAUGUAAUCUGGUUUAGGUCGCUGUUGCGUAUCAAGAGUACAUUCCCAAAUGAAGGAUCCUUUCAUCUAUUUUCUGCUUGCUAGAACUGAUUGGCCCGACUUAUUUAUAAGUAUACUUGCAUGGAAUAUUGUGAUAGUAUACCUUGAUGAUGGAAAUUAUUGGCCUUCUAUAGUUGGGUCCCUGAAAAAUCAAUGUGGCUGAAUUGCAAGAUGAUACAGCAGCUGUUGAUGCUGUUAUAUUUGCUGUUGGUUGUAAUUUUGUUGCUGGUCACAAACUACCAUUUCUUCGCUGAAUGGCAAGGAGAUGCUGCAGCUGUAGAUGCUGUUUUAACUUGGCUGAUUAUAAUUUGUUGCUGGUGACAUACUACUAUUUGUUGGUUGAGUGGCAAGCAUAUGCAGCAGCUGUUGAUGCUGUUUUAGCUUUGCUGUUGUAAUUUUGUUGCUGGUGACAAAUUAUCGGGUUCUAUACAAAUGUUCAGGAUGCUCAUGAUCGCGCAUGAGUUCAUGCCCGUGAAGUUCUAGCUGAUCUCUGUAGAUCUUUUGUUGCUGUUAGCUGAUAGCCUAUCGAACUGAUGCUGCUUUUUGGUGUUGAUGGUCUGCUUGAUGUGUUCAGUUGGACCCUCUGCAUGUUGUUCAUGCUCCUUCUGCAGGAGCUUAAGUUGUGUGUUUAUGUUGUGCUGAGUCACCUCAGAUAUACACCAUCUGCGUCUCUUAUUGGUUAUUUUUUAGUGGAACAUGUGCACAUUGCCGAUUUGGAGAUCUGAUGGUUUCCUGUGAGAAUGUUAAUCUUAUCAAAACUUAACCUUCUUUUACUCCGUCUGCUAGUGGCUUGAUGCAUGUAUCUCAUUAUCUUCAUAUUGGCAAGUGUGUAUAGAAAUCACAGUAGAAUGUACCAAUGGCAUUUAGAGGUGGAAUUAGGGCUUUUGAUCUCCUUUUAAGUGAGGUUAUGGGAUAGCGGCUAGGGUAUUUCAUUACAAUAGUCGAGUGUGAUACCCUUUGUCAAUUAGGGUUCUAAUAUGGUGGUGUUUUAGAACUCUGGUUGAUUGAUGUAGUGGGGUAAAUUACUGUGUUAGGGUACUCUCUCCCUAGGAAUUUGUGCUCUUCCAUAGGGCUUCGGAAUGGUAUGUGCUUACCAUAUUGGACAAGUACUCUUUGCUAGAUGGCUAUGGAUUUGACUAGCUUGAUGAGCAAGUUUGGGAAGGUAACAUGAUACUGCUUUGGGAGCAUUUGAUUUUUCCUGUUACGGGGAAUACUUUGCAGGAUUGGCUCUUUCUGUUUGGCUAAUAAGGCAGUAAUAUGUUCAAAAGCAAAGUUGUUGAUGGCCAUGUCAUAUAUAUUUGCCUUCCUGUUGCCGUUGAUAAAAGUUUUACGUUGCUCUACGAAGAAUAAUCCUUCAAUUUCAUUCUGUAUUGACGAACCAAUGGAGAUUCUUGCCAAGGCUUCUGUCAGCUUUCCACGCCAUGGAGAGUUGACAUUUAUUAUUCUUUUCUUCAGUCCUUUUAAAACAAAUUGUGAUCGGAUGAUAAUAGACAUUUACAAGCAAUUGAACAAUUCUCCUUACAGAA